AUACGUAGGGUGCGAGCGUUAAUCGGAAUUACUGGGCGUAAAGCGUGCGCAGGCGGUUUUGUAAGUCAGAUGUGAAAUCCCCGGACUUAACCUGGGAACUGCGUUUGAAACUGCAAGGCUAGAGUGUGGCAGAGGGGGGUGGAAUUCCGCGUGUAGCAGUGAAAUGCGUAGAGAUGUGGAGGAACACCAAUGGCGAAGGCAGCCCCCUGGGUCAACACUGACGCUCAGGCACGAAAGCAUGGGGAGCAAACAGGAUUAGAAACCCGGGUAGUCC
This 274-nucleotide ribosomal RNA is filed under the name uncultured bacterium. RNAcentral's name for it is "partial 16S ribosomal RNA". It matches the Rfam family "Bacterial small subunit ribosomal RNA", at positions 523 to 796 of the family's 1533-position model. The record is from RNAcentral.